Molecule: ribosomal RNA, 506 nt
Filed under: uncultured bacterium
Lineage: Bacteria
Description: partial 16S ribosomal RNA
Rfam family: Bacterial small subunit ribosomal RNA
Source: RNAcentral
AGUGAACGCUGGCGGUAGGCCUAACACAUGCAAGUCGAACGGCAGCACAGGAGAGCUUGCUCUCUGGGUGGCGAGUGGCGGACGGGUGAGGAAUACAUCGGAAUCUACUCUGUCGUGGGGGAUAACGUAGGGAAACUUACGCUAAUACCGCAUACGACCUACGGGUGAAAGCAGGGGACCUUCGGGCCUUGCGCGAUUGAAUGAGCCGAUGUCGGAUUAGCUAGUUGGCGGGGUAAAGGCCCACCAAGGCGACGUCCCGGAGCUGGUCUGGGAGGAUGAUCAGCUACAAUGGAACUGAGACACGGUCCAGCCUCCUACGGGAGGCAGCAGUGGGGAAUAUUGGACAAUGGGCGCAAGCCUGAUCCAGCCAUACCGCGUGGGUGAAGAAGGCCUUCGGGUUGUAAAGCCCUUUUGUUGGAAAAGAAAUCCAGCUGGCUAAUACCCGGUUGGGAUGACGGUACCCAAAGAAUAAGCACCGGCUAACAUCGUGCCAGCAGCCGCCGUAA